Paramuricea clavata is the source of this 694-nucleotide non-coding RNA. The record is from the annotation of a GenBank genome assembly. NCBI's taxonomy places the organism in Eukaryota, Metazoa, Cnidaria, Anthozoa, Malacalcyonacea, Plexauridae.
UGACCUCGUAGCGCAGUUGGCAGAGCAUUGGACUGGUUCCCAAAUGUCGCGGGUUCGAUUCCCACCGUGGCCAAGCUAACUUUUCAGCUUGCCCCGUGUGGAUGCACACUCAGAGUAACAUCACAAACAUCAUGUUCUGAUAUGAUCGCGGACGGGGGUCACAGAACGCCCGGGAUAAAUUGACUACCAUGGCCAAUACUGUUUUGCUAUACUGAGGCUAUGACUAUUAAUUGAUGAGCGAAGCGAGUAUGCAAAGAAUGGAAGGUCGAAGCUUCAAGGGCGCUUUGAGUUGAGUGGUGGACAAAGGCUUGCAAGCUUUGUAUAUUGUCCAAGUGCAAGACUGGGCUAAAAAUUUCAGCUUGUGAUGACUGCAAGCAGGGCCGCCGAAAGAAUUUGUGGGGGCCGGGGCAAGUCUUCUCUGGGGGCCCCCUGACAUCAUUACUUUUAAGGUACAUCCAUGUUAGUCACCCAACUAGGCCUUAGCUAGACUGCAUGUGGACUGUGCUACUGUAAGGGGCCCUCGAUUUCAAAAAUGCUCUGACCAAUUUAAAGAACAUACUCAAUUUUACGCUCUAUCUCUCAAGUUGGACCCGGUGUCCCAGGAUUUUCGCCCCCCCUACAUUUCCGCCCCCGGGGGCGAAAUUCCUAGGAAUAUCGCCCCCCUCCCAGGGGGGCGAAAAUCCUAGGAAUUUCG